CCUACGGGAGGCUGCAGUGGGGAAUAUUGGACAAUGGGCGAAAGCCUGAUCCAGCCAUGCCGCGUGUGUGAAGAAGGCCUUCGGGUUGUAAAGCACUUUCAGUGGGGAAGAAAGCCUUGGGGCUAAUACCCUCGAGGAAGGACAUCACCCACAGAAGAAGCACCGGCUAACUCCGUGCCAGCAGCCGCGGUAAUACGGAGGGUGCGAGCGUUAAUCGGAAUUACUGGGCGUAAAGCGCGCGUAGGCGGUCUGAUAAGCCGGUUGUGAAAGCCCCGGGCUCAACCUGGGAACGGCAUCCGGACCUGUCAGGCUAGAGUGCAGGAGAGGAAGGUAGACUUCCCGGUGUAGCGGUGAAAUGCGUAGAGAUCGGGAGGAAUACCAGUGGCGAAGGCGGCCUUCUGGACUGACACUGACGCUGAGGUGCGAAAGCGUGGGUAGCACACAGGAUUAGAUACCCCAGUAGUC
RNAcentral lists this ribosomal RNA (465 nucleotides) under Vreelandella stevensii. RNAcentral's name for it is "partial 16S ribosomal RNA". It matches the Rfam family "Bacterial small subunit ribosomal RNA", at positions 338 to 795 of the family's 1533-position model. Lineage: Bacteria; Pseudomonadati; Pseudomonadota; Gammaproteobacteria; Oceanospirillales; Halomonadaceae. The record is from RNAcentral.